Vicia faba (fava bean) is the source of this 195-nucleotide non-coding RNA. Lineage: Eukaryota; Viridiplantae; Streptophyta; Magnoliopsida; Fabales; Fabaceae. The record is from the annotation of a GenBank genome assembly.
AUGUCUGGUCCUAGGAUUGCUCAUGCUACCUUGAAGGGUCCAAGUGUUGUAAAGGAGAUAAUAAUUGGAAUAACACUUGGUAUAGCUGCUGGUGGUCUCUGGAAGAUGCAUCACUGGAAUGAACAGAAAAAGACCAGGACCUUUUACGAUUUAUUGGAAAAGGGUGAGAUUAGUGUUAUUGCAGAGGAAGAGUAA